AUUCAGACCCUUUGCUUUGAAACUCGAAAUUAAGCUCAGGUGCAUCCUGUUUCCAUUUAUCAUCCUUUGGGAUGUUUUUACAACUUGAUUGGAGUCCACCUGUGGUAAAUUUAAUUGAUUGGACAUGAUUUGGAAAGGCACACACCUGUCCAUAUAAGGUUCCACAGUUGACAGUGCAUGUUAGAGCAAAAACCAAGCCAUGAGGUCGAAGGAAUUGUCCGUAGAGCUCAGAGACAGGAUUGUGUUGAGGACAAGAUCUGGAGAAGGGUACCAAAAAAUGUCUGCAGCAUUGAAGGCCCCCAAGAACACAGUGGCCUCCAUCAUUCUUAAAUGGAAGACUCUACCUAGAGCUGCCAAGCUGAGCAAUCGGGGGAGAAGAGCCUUGGUCAGGGAGGUGACCAAAACCCCGAUGGUCACUCUGACAGAGCUCUAGAGUUCCUCUGUGGAGAUGGGCGACCUGGCACUAUCCCUACGGUGAAGCAUGGUGGUGGCAACAUCAUGCUGUCUGGAUUUUUUUUAAGUGGCAGGGAGACUAGUCAGGAUCGAGACAAAGAUAAACGGAGCAAAGUGCAGAGAGAUCCUUGAUAACCUGCUCCAGAGCUCUCAGGACCUCACACUGGGGCGAAGGUUCACCUUCCAACAGGACAACAACCCUAAGCACACAGCCAAGACAACGCAGGAGUGACUUCGGGACGAGUCUCUGAAUGUCCUUGAGUUGCCCAGACUUGAACCCGAUCGAACAUCUUUGAAUCCUACCUGACCGAGUUUGAGAGGAUCUGCAGAAAAGAAACUGACAAACUCCCCAAAUACAGGUGUGCCAAGCUUGUUGCAACAUACCCAAGAAGACUCGAGGCUGUAAUCGCUACCAAAUGUGCUUCAAAAAAACGUUCAGCGGCUACCUAGAAUAAAAGCAGUUCCAACAACUAAAGAAGUUGAAGUCGAACUGUCAUUUGAAAGGGCCACACAAACGCUUCACACCGCAUGGCUGCUGCCACUCUAACCUGGUGGUCCCAGCGCGCACGACCCACGUGGAGUUCCAGGUCUCCGGCAGCCUCUGGAACUGCCGGUCUGCGGCCAACAAGGCAGAGUUCAUCUCAGCCUAUGCUACCCUCCAGUCCAUCGAGUUCUUGGCGCUGACGGAAACAUGGAUUACCACAGAAAACACUGCUACUCCUACUGCUCUCUCCUCGUCUGACCACGAGUUCUCGCAUACCACGAGAGCAUCUGGUCAGGGGGGUGGUGGCACUGGAAUCCUCUUCUCUCCCAAGAGAACAUUCUCUCUUUCUCCCCUGACCCAUCUGUCUAUCUCCUCCUUUGAAUUCCAUGCUGUCACAGUCACUAGCACAUUCAAGCUUAACAUCCUUAUCAUUUAUCGCCCUCCAGGUUCCCUUGGAGAGUUCAUCAAUGAGCUUGACGCCUUGAUAAGUUCCUUUCCUGAGGAUGGCUCACCCCUCACAAUUCUGGGUGACCUCCCUACGUCUACCUUUGACUCAUUUCUCUCUGCCUCCUUUCCACUCCUCUCCUCUUUUGACCUCACCCUCUCACCGUCCCCCCCUACUCACAAGGCAGGCAAUACGCUUGACCUCAUCUUUUCUGGAUGCUGUUCUUCUACUAAUCUCACUGCAACUCCCCUCCAAGUCUCCGACCACUACCUUGUAUCCUUUUCCCUCUCGCUCUCAUCCAACACUACUCACUCUGCCCCUACUCAGAUGGUAUUGCGCCGUCGCAACCUUCGCUCUCUCACUCCUGCUACUCUCUCCUCUUCCAUCCUAUCAUCUCUUCCCUCUGCUCAAUCCUUCUCCAACCAAUCUCCUGAUUCUACCUCCUCAACCCUCCUCUCCUACCUUUCUGCAUCCUUUGACUCUCUAUGUCCCCUAUCAUCCUGGCCGGCUCGGUCCUCCCCUCCUGCUCCGUGGCUUAACGACUCAUUGCAAGCUCACGGAACAGGGCUCCGGGCAGCCGAGCGGAAAUGGAGGAAAACUAGCCUCCCUGCGGACCUGGCAUCUUUUCACUCCCUCCUCUCCAUAUUUUCUUCCUCUGUUUCUGCUGCUAAAGCCACUUUCUACCACUCUAAAUUCCAAGCAUCUGCCUCUAACCCUAGGAAGCUCUUUGCCACCUUCUCCUCCCUCCUGAAUCCUCCUCCCCCUCCCCCCUCCUCCCUCUCUGUGGAUGACUUUGUCAACCAUUUUGAAAAGAAGGUUGACGACAUCCGACCGCUGGUCCUGCUCACAUUGCCCUACCCUAUGCUUUGACCUCUUUCUCCCCUCUCUCUUCAGAUGAAAUCUUGCGACUUGUGACGGCCGGCCGCCCAACAACCUGCCCGCUUGACCCUAUCCCCUCCUCUCUUCUCCAGACCAUUUCCGGAGACCUUCUCCUUUACCUCAUCUCGCUCAUCAACUCAUCCUUGACCGCUGGCUACGUCCCUUCCGUCUUCAAGAGAGCGAGAGUUGCACCCCUUCUCAAAAAACCUACACUCGAUCCAUCCAAUGUCAACAACUACAGACCAGUAUCCCUUCUUUCUUUUCUCUCCAAAACUCUUGAGCGUGCCGUCCUUGGCCAGUUCUCUUGUUAUCUCUCUCAGAAUGACCUUCUUGAUCCAAAUCAGUCAGGUUUCAAGACUGGUCAUUCAACUGAGACUGCUCUUCUCUGUGUCACGGAGGCUCUCCGCACUGCUAAAGCUAACUCUCUCUCCUCUGCUCUCAUCCUUCUAGACCUAUCUGCUGCCUUUGAUACUGUGAACCAUCAGAUCCUCCUCUCCACCCUCUCCGAGUUGGGCAUCUCCGGCGCGGCUCACUCUUGGAUUGCGUCCUACCUGACAGGUCGCUCCUACCAGGUGACGAAUCGCAUCUCUGCAUGUCUGGCAGACAUAUCAGUGUGGAUGACGGAUCACCACCUCAAGCUGAACCUCGGCAAGACGGAGCUGCUCUUCCUCCCGGGGAAGGACUGCCCGUUCCAUGAUCUCGCCAUCACGGUUGACAACUCCAUUGUGUCCUCCUCCCAGAGUGCUAAGAGCCUUGGCGUGACCCUGGACAACACCCUGUCGUUCUCUGCUAACAUCAAGGCGGUGACCCGAUCCUGUAGGUACAUGCUCUACAACAUUCGCAGAGUACGACCCUGCCUCACACAGGAAGCGGCGCAGGUCCUAAUCCAGGCACUUGUCAUCUCCCGUCUGGAUUACUGCAACUUGCUGUUGGCGGGGCUCCCUGCCUGUGCCACUAAACCCCUACAACUCAUCCAGAACGCCGCAGCCUGUCUGGUGUUCAACCUUCCCAAGUUCUCUCACGUCACCCUGCUCCUCCGCACACUCCACUGGCUUCCAGUUGAAGCUCGCAUCUGCUACAAGACCAUGGUGCUUGCCUACGGAGCUGUGAAGGAAACGGCACCUCCGUACCUUCAGGCUCUGAUCAGUCCCUACACCUAAAGAAGGGCAUUGCGUUCAUCCACCUCUGGCCUGCUCGCCGACCUACCUCUGCGGAAGCAUACAGUGCCUUGCGAAAGUAUUCGAAUAAUUUUGCACGGCCAAUUUUUCCGUUUUUUAUUUGUUAAAAAAGUUUGAAAUAUCCAAUAAAUUUCGUUCCACUUCAUAAUUGUGUCCCACUUGUUGUUGAUUCUUCACAAAAAAUUACAGUUUUAUAUCUUUAUGUUUGAAGCCUGAAAUGUGGCAAAAGGUCGAAAAGUUCAAGGGGGCCGAAUACUUUCCGAAUACUUUCGCAAGGCACUGUAGUUCCCGCUCAGCCCAGUCAAAACUGUUCGCUGCUCUGGCACCCCAAUGGUGGAACAAGCUCCCUCACGACUUCAGGACAGCGGAGUCAAUCACCACCUUCCGGAGACACCUGAAACCCCACCUCUUUAAGGAAUACCUGGGAUAGGAUUAAGUAUUCCUUCUAACCCUCCCUCCCUACCCUCCCCC
RNAcentral lists this long non-coding RNA (3910 nucleotides) under Salmo salar (Atlantic salmon). RNAcentral describes it as "lncRNA (ENSSSAG00000097627.1)". Lineage: Eukaryota; Metazoa; Chordata; Actinopteri; Salmoniformes; Salmonidae. The record is from RNAcentral.